CUGUCGUAAUAAUAAGUAAAUAAAUUCUGUAUUUAUAUUUUAGAUAAAAACAUACAGUGUAAUUUAUUACAAGCACCAUUGUAUCUAGAGUUGAGAGGAUUUAGUAUUGAGGAUCCAGUUAAAAGAAAAUGUUUACUAAGAUCCAUAUUUGGUUGGAUAAUUCUUCAAAAUUUUGUUUAUUUACCCGUCAUGUUUAUAUUUCUACGAAAUGUACCAAUUAUUUCACUAAAUAUACAUGAUAUUUCACUCAAUAUAUUUACAAUAAUGUGGAUUAUAAAUUUUAUUAUAUCUGCGCUACUAUAUCGUUUUCGGAAUUUCCGACGACCUUUUGUGAAUGCCUAUCUAUCGUUUAUCUUUGUAACAAUACUAUGUGCAAUUCUAAUGGGAAUUUUUGCGAAUUUAAUGAAUACUUUAACGGUCAUCUUACAACCGAUUAUAUUAAUAGUCCAGUUAUUUGCCAUAAUUCUUUACAGCCUGCAGUCUAAAUUUAAAUUGACUAAUUUUCGAGCCUUUAUAAUUGUAUUAAUAGUUUAUUUAGCAUUUAUUUUAGCAAAUGUUUUCAUCUUUCAUUAUUCGACAUUCUAUAGUACGAGUACAUUAAGUUUUACCAUAGCUAUUUAUAUUAUCUUCGAUACUCAAUUGAUGCUAACAUCACCGAUACAUAACUAUCAAUUGGCUGCAAAUGAACAUGUUUUUGGAGCGGUAAAUUUAUUUGCUGAUCAAGCGAAAUUGGGUUGGCUGCUAUUCAGAUGUUUCUUUUUGGACAGUACAAUAACGUUUUGUAGGAAUGCUUUUAAAACUAUGACAUCGAAGUUGUAUUAAGUUGUAAGAUUUUGAAAGUAACAAAAAAUAAAUAUUCA
Molecule: long non-coding RNA, 860 nt
Organism: Lucilia cuprina (Australian sheep blowfly)
Lineage: Eukaryota; Metazoa; Arthropoda; Insecta; Diptera; Calliphoridae
Exons: 3
Source: RefSeq, a predicted model, not a curated record